GUGAAUCAUCAAAUUUUUGAACGCAAAUUGCACUCUCUUCGGAGAGUAUGCCUGUUUGAGGGUCAGCCUAAAAAAAAUCGACAUAGUCGCUGUUUCGCGGUGACAUUCGUCGGAAAUUGGGUCAUCUUAAACCUUUGGGUUUUUUAAGCGGCUUAAAUUUUUUUUUCGAUUUCACGAAAGUUUUCAAGAUUUUACUUUCUACACACCU
Molecule: unclassified non-coding RNA, 208 nt
Filed under: Glomus sp.
Lineage: Eukaryota; Fungi; Glomeromycota; Glomeromycetes; Glomerales; Glomeraceae
Description: partial contains 5.8S ribosomal RNA and internal transcribed spacer 2
Rfam family: 5.8S ribosomal RNA (bases 1-65)
Source: RNAcentral